CUGUCGUCAGCUCGUGUUGUGAAAUGUUGGGUUAAGUCCCGCAACGAGCGCAACCCUUAUCCUUUGUUGCCAGCGGUUCGGCCGGGAACUCAAAGGAGACUGCCAGUGAUAAACUGGAGGAAGGUGGGGAUGACGUCAAGUCAUCAUGGCCCUUACGACCAGGGCUACACACGUGCUACAAUGGCAUAUACAAAGAGAAGCGACCUCGCGAGAGCAAGCGGACCUCAUAAAGUAUGUCGUAGUCCGGAUUGGAGUCUGCAACUCGACUCCAUGAAGUCGGAAUCGCUAGUAAUCGUAGAUCAGAAUGCUACGGUGAAUACGUUCCCGGGCCUUGUACACACCGCCCGUCACACCAUGGGAGUGGGUUGCAAAAGAAGUAGGUAGCUUAACCUUCGGGAGGGCGCUUACCACUUUGUGAUUCAUGACUGGGGUGAAGUCGUAACAAGGUAACCGUAGGGGAACCUGCGGUUGGAUCACCUCCUUACCUUAAAGAA
This 494-nucleotide ribosomal RNA is filed under the name Klebsiella pneumoniae. RNAcentral's name for it is "bacterial SSU rRNA". It matches the Rfam family "Bacterial small subunit ribosomal RNA", at positions 1049 to 1533 of the family's 1533-position model. Lineage: Bacteria; Pseudomonadati; Pseudomonadota; Gammaproteobacteria; Enterobacterales; Enterobacteriaceae. RNAcentral also lists the same sequence under 2 other names. The record is from RNAcentral.